UCUAGAUGAACCACGUGGAGUGGGGAAGUCUCCCUGUAAGUGGAGGAUGGAGAGGAGGAAAAAGCUGAGUAGGAUGUGAGGACCAGACCUGUCAUUGCUGGAUGACUGGAGCUUUGAAGCCAUCCUGCACAUCUGACAUGGCAGAAACCUUCCCAGCAGACCUAUAAAUGGUAGUGUCCUAAGUUAUCGGGCUCAACUCUUCAAAGAAAAUCAGUGACCUAUAAAGGAACACCGACAAGUCAUCAGACUGGUAUGAUCGGCUCUGUGUAGAAGGACAAAGGUGUUGAGGAGUGCGUAUUUCCCAGAGCCUAUUUGUUCAGACUUCCAAAUCUAAAAUCUGACUGUAAGAAAAGAAAUGUUUUCUAUGUCCUGCCUGAGAAACGUUGCGUACUUUGAAUCAUGAUUUAUCAAAAUCCUGAAUAUGUGCUCAACUUGAAGAACAGAAAUGAUCUAGCUGAAGUCAAUGGAAAGAUAAGUGCUUAUUUAACUUCUCUGCUGGACUGAGAUCAGCAAUCCCAGGACCUUUCUCAGAUGAAAGUAGAGAGAUCUGCAGUACUGAUGAAAAUUCACUAAACAAUUUGCUAGGAAUUGUGAACACUAGGUUAAAUAGGAACCACAAUAAAAGGCAUUUAGCUUUGAAAUUGUCCUUGGUUUCCACAGUUCAAGGUCUAAGCGAAGGAGACGAUAAAAAAUUUCACAGAUAUAACAAAAUUAUACAACUAAUAUGAAAUCGAGCCAAA
This 740-nucleotide long non-coding RNA is filed under the name Struthio camelus australis. RNAcentral's name for it is "lncRNA (ENSSCUG00000002473.1)". The record is from RNAcentral. Lineage: Eukaryota; Metazoa; Chordata; Aves; Struthioniformes; Struthionidae.